UUGUUUUAAUUCCUUAAAGAAAAUAAUAUUUUGUUUUAGUUUCUGUGAACAUUACUGAAUUUACUCCUUGAAAAAGGACAUUCAAGUUUGGUGAAAGUUGUUCAGAUGCUUGAGUAGACAGAUUCCCUUCUUGCAUAAUUUGAGCAGUGGUCCACAUCUUUGACUUUUUCCUUAAGUUGCAGCUGUUUGUCAUGUUCUUUGGGACUAAAAUUUUGGUUUGUGCUUCUAGGCAUUGAAUACAUCUCUACUUUAUUUGACAAGUUGGUCAUCUUGAAUUUUGUUUUCAAUCUUUGUGGACUUUCAGCAGCGUUUUUCUUAAUUGAGUAGUUCAUGCCUUGUCUGCAUAAAUAUUUAAUUCCAUUUUUUACUAAUAUUAAAUAGUUUUAUUUAAUUUUUUAGGUGCUUUGUGAGG
Molecule: unclassified non-coding RNA, 412 nt
Filed under: Hevea brasiliensis (rubber tree)
Lineage: Eukaryota; Viridiplantae; Streptophyta; Magnoliopsida; Malpighiales; Euphorbiaceae
Source: RNAcentral